UACGUAGGGUGCUAGCGUUGUUCGGAAUCAUUGGGCGUAAAGUGCGUGCAGGCUGUUAGUUAAGUCGGGUGUGAAAUCCCUGGGCUCAACCGAGGAAGUGCAUCCGAAACUAGCUAGCUAGAGAGUGGUAGAGGAAGGUGGAAUUCCAAGUGUAGAGGUGAAAUUCGUAGAUAUUUGGAGGAAUACCGGUGGCGAAGGCGGCCUUCUGGACCAUUUCUGACGCUGAGACGCGAAAGCGUGGGGAGCAAACAGG
RNAcentral lists this ribosomal RNA (253 nucleotides) under uncultured bacterium. Its description in RNAcentral is "partial 16S ribosomal RNA". It matches the Rfam family "Bacterial small subunit ribosomal RNA", at positions 524 to 776 of the family's 1533-position model. The record is from RNAcentral.